AGAGUUUGAUCAUGGCUCAGGAUGAACGCUGGCGGCGUGCCUAACACAUGCAAGUCGAACGGGUGUGGUAUCAGGGAAAAGGGGUUUACUUCUUUGACCAGAUAACACACUAGUGGCGGACGGGUGAGUAACGCGUGGAUAACCUGCCUUAUACAGGGGGAUAACAGGGAGAAAUUCUUGCUAAUACCCCAUAGGUAUGUCUGACGCAUGUUGGACAUAUUAAAGCUUUGGCGGUAUAAGAUGGGUCCGCGUCUGAUUAGCUAGUUGGUGGGGUAAAGGCCCACCAAGGCGACGAUCAGUAGCCGGCUUGAGAGAGUGGACGGCCACAUUGGGACUGAGACACGGCCCAAACUCCUACGGGAGGCAGCAGUGGGGAAUAUUGCACAAUGGGGGAAACCCUGAUGCAGCGACGCCGCGUGAAGGAAGAAGGUCUUCGGAUCGUAAACUUCUAUCAGCAGGGAAGAAGGAAGUGACAGUACCUGAGUAAGAAGCCCCGGCUAACUACGUGCCAGCAGCCGCGGUAAUACGUAGGGGGCGAGCGUUAUCCGGAAUUACUGGGUGUAAAGGGUGCGUAGGCGGUAUGGCAAGUCAGUUGUGAAACCCCCUGGCUCAACCAGGGGCUUGCAAUUGAAACUGUCAUACUAGAGUGCAGGAGAGGAAAGCGGAAUUCCUAGUGUAGCGGUGAAAUGCGUAGAUAUUAGGAAGAACACCAGUGGCGAAGGCGGCUUUCUGGACUGUAACAGACGCUGAGGCACGAAAGCGUGGGGAGCGAACAGGAUUAGAUACCCUGGUAGUCCACGCCGUAAACGAUGAGUGCUAGGUGUUGGGGUCUAAUUAGAUCUCGGUGCUGAAGUAAACGCAUUAAGCACUCCACCUGGGGAGUACGAUCGCAAGAUUGAAACUCAAAUGAAUUGACGG
This 918-nucleotide ribosomal RNA is filed under the name uncultured bacterium. Its description in RNAcentral is "bacterial SSU rRNA". It matches the Rfam family "Bacterial small subunit ribosomal RNA", at positions 8 to 916 of the family's 1533-position model. The record is from RNAcentral.